This is a non-coding RNA of Mycena metata, 93 nucleotides long. The record is from the annotation of a GenBank genome assembly. Lineage: Eukaryota; Fungi; Basidiomycota; Agaricomycetes; Agaricales; Mycenaceae.
GCAUUAAUGGGGUAGUGGUAACCUGGGUCGUUGCCAUUUGGAUUUCUAAUCUAGAAGUUCGACCCGCCGGGGGUUCGAUUCCCCCUUAAUGCA